UGGGGAAUAUUGGACAAUGGGCGCAAGCCUGAUCCAGCCAUGCCGCGUGUGUGAAGAAGGCCUUCGGGUUGUAAAGCACUUUUGUACGGGAAGAAAUCGUUUGGAUUAAUACUCUGAGCGGAUGACGGUACCGUAAGAAUAAGCACCGGCUAACUUCGUGCCAGCAGCCGCGGUAAUACGAAGGGUGCAAGCGUUACUCGGAAUUACUGGGCGUAAAGCGUGCGUAGGCGGUUUGUUAAGUCAGAUGUGAAAUCCCCGGGCUCAACCUGGGAAUGGCAUUUGAUACUGGCGAGCUAGAGUACGGUAGAGGGUGGUGGAAUUCCCGGUGUAGCGGUGAAAUGCGUAGAGAUCGGGAGGAACAUCUGUGGCGAAGGCGGCCACCUGGACCAGUACUGACGCU
Molecule: ribosomal RNA, 400 nt
Filed under: uncultured bacterium
Lineage: Bacteria
Description: bacterial SSU rRNA
Rfam family: Bacterial small subunit ribosomal RNA
Source: RNAcentral